Molecule: long non-coding RNA, 1376 nt
Filed under: Homo sapiens (human)
Lineage: Eukaryota; Metazoa; Chordata; Mammalia; Primates; Hominidae
Description: HSALNT0392356
Source: RNAcentral
AUCCUUGGAGAGGCCCGGGCAAGGCAAGCGCAUCAUUCCGCACGCCUCGCACCCAGCCUUUGCUCGGCGAUGCGCCUCAGCCCUGGCCCGGGUACCCCGAACCCUGGGGUCUUUCUGGAUAUUGCCCUGCCUCGAGCCCAGAUGCUGGAAUCCUAAUACAGAACCCAGAACCCAUCUCUCCGUCCAAAUCAAUGAUCAGCGGCCCCCCAGAGCUAAUGUUCCUGGGCGGGGCUCGGAGAAGGCAGCUUCGCAGGCAGAACGCGCGCUCCUCGCUGCCCCAGGCGCCGCUGGUACGAACCCUCCCCUACCCAGGGCUCAUCCACAGCCUGGCACAUCGGUCCGCGACUCUGGGGCUGCCUCCGGGAACCUGGGCCGCGCCUGCCGGUUAGAAACCCGGGGUUAAGAAAAAAGCCAAGGUUCCUCCAUCCCGGGCCAGGCAGGGCUGCUCUCCCGGUCCUGCCUGCCUGCUGGCUUUCCCUUCCUCCUCCUUUGCGCCUGUUUUUCCCCCUCCUUCGCAGUCUCGUCCUUGUUCUUCCCUCUCUUAAGUCGCUUUUCCUCAAUCACACCGGGCCAACACCCUCCCCACCGCACGCCCCCCAAGACAGCCUGGGAUUCAAAAUGCAGUUGGAACACGGAUCACUUGAAAGAAAGCUCUUCAGGGGAAAGAAUUGGAAUGAAAUGAAAAGAAAGGGUGGAGGAGAGAGAGAGACCCCACCCGGAUAGUCCAGAACAAGCAGUAACAAAGCAAAGUCCGAGGGAGCUUCACGCUCAACCCCCGGCCAGGCUCCAGAGCUGAAGUUCUCCUAACUCGUCCCAAGAAUAGGUAAAAGAAACCAAGCUAGGGGCCGUGCCCUGCCCCCAUCCUGUGGGCCGGGUUGGGGGAGGGGGGGUUCUCCAGCGGCCAGAAGCUCACUGGCUCUACCCGGGACCCUGAGCUGCCUAGGGCUGGGGGAGGCGUCCGAGCAGUCGCGGAGCCUGCCAGACCCUCGGCUAGAAUGGGGACCCGCUGUCCAGCCGAGGCUGGCGGAGGCGCACCGGGGGCGCAGAGGGCGAUGCUAGUAGUCUGGACCCAAAGGACUGCAGGAAGGAGACCGUGAGGAAGCGUCUGUGCCUGGGAAGCCCCAGCUCCUGCUUGGGCCAGGCAGCCAGCACCUACCUGAUCCCGGGGAACCGGAGUCCGGCGGCGGCAGGAGAGCUGCCAGGUAGGACGGCGGGCAAAGCGCUUCUUCAAGUUCCUGCGCUGGAGUCACCACCCGAGAGGCAUCGCCGUCUGGCGUUGGUGUCUGAGCAGAAGCCGCAGGAACCAGCGGGAGCAGCAGGAGGAGCUGCGGGACUCGUUUGCCGAGGCUCGUGUUCUGCUCAAAAGUUUGUAGACG